GCCCUGGAUCAGCUCCGGGUGCCCUGGAUCAGCUCUGGGUGCCCUGGAGCAGAUCCUGGACCAGCUUCUGCUGCUCUGGAUCAGCUCCUGGACCAGCUCCUGGUGCCCUGGAUCAGCUCCUGGACCAGCUCCUGGUGCCUUGGAGCAGCUCCUGGACCAGCUACUGGUGCCCUGGAUCAGCUCUGGGUGCCCUGGAUCAGCUCCUGGAUCAUCUCCUGGUGCCCUGGAUCAGCUCCUGGUGCCCUGGAUCAUCUCCUGGAUCAGCUCUGGAUCAGCUCCUGGUGUCCUGGAUCAGCUCCUGGACCAGCCCCUGCUGCUCCCUCAGCCCCAGCCAGGCACAGGGACACUCCCAGCACGGUCCUGCAGCCAAAGCUGCUGUGAU
This 382-nucleotide long non-coding RNA is filed under the name Lonchura striata (white-rumped munia). RNAcentral's name for it is "domestica (Bengalese finch) lncRNA (ENSLSDG00000004753.1)". Lineage: Eukaryota; Metazoa; Chordata; Aves; Passeriformes; Estrildidae. The record is from RNAcentral.